UAAUACGGAGGGUGCAAGCGUUAUCCGGAUUUAUUGGGUUUAAAGGGUCCGUAGGUGGACCAAUAAGUCAGUGGUGAAAUCUUUCGGCUCAACCGGAAAACUGCCAUCGAUACUGUUGGUCUUGAAUAUGUUUGAAGUGGGCGGAAUAUGGCAUGUAGCGGUGAAAUGCAUAGAUAUGCCAUAGAACACCGAUAGCGAAGGCAGCUCACUAAGCCAUAAUUGACGCUAAUGGACGAAAGCGUGGGGAGCGAACAGGAUUAGAUACCCUGGUAGUCCACGCUGUAAACGAUGAUCACUCGAUAUUGGCAACACACAGUCAGUGUCUAAGAGAAAUUGAUAAGUGAUCCACCUGGGGAGUACGAUCGCAAGGUUG
This 373-nucleotide ribosomal RNA is filed under the name uncultured Bacteroidota bacterium. RNAcentral describes it as "bacterial SSU rRNA". It matches the Rfam family "Bacterial small subunit ribosomal RNA", at positions 521 to 896 of the family's 1533-position model. The record is from RNAcentral. Lineage: Bacteria; Pseudomonadati; Bacteroidota.